RNAcentral lists this ribosomal RNA (366 nucleotides) under uncultured bacterium. Its description in RNAcentral is "bacterial SSU rRNA". It matches the Rfam family "Bacterial small subunit ribosomal RNA", at positions 28 to 387 of the family's 1533-position model. The record is from RNAcentral.
GACGAACGCUGGCGGCGUGCUUAACACAUGCAAGUCGAACGGAAAGGCCCCCACCUUGGUGGGGGUGCUCGAGUGGCGAACGGGUGAGUAACACGUGGGUGAUCUGCCCUGUACUUCGGGAUAAGCUUGGGGAAACUAGGGUCUAAUACCGGAUAGGACCAUGGUUUAGUGUCUCAUGGUGGAAAGAUUAUUGUUUGGUGCAGGAUGAGCUCGCGGCCUAUCAGCUUGUUGGUGGGGUAAGGCCUACCAAGGCGUCGACGGGUAGCCGGCCUGAGAGGGUGGACGGCCACAUUGGGACUGAGAUACGGCCCAGACUCCUACGGGAGGCAGCAGUGGGGAAUAUUGCACAAUGGGCGCAAGCCUGAU